UUUUCAGGUUGACCUCGGAUCAGGU
RNAcentral lists this ribosomal RNA (25 nucleotides) under Gymnostellatospora canadensis. RNAcentral describes it as "partial 28S ribosomal RNA". The record is from RNAcentral. Lineage: Eukaryota; Fungi; Ascomycota; Leotiomycetes; Thelebolales; Pseudeurotiaceae.